UGGGGAAUAUUGCACAAUGGGCGCAAGCCUGAUGCAGCAACGCCGCGUGAGGGACGCCGGCCUUCGGGUUGUAAACCUCUUUUGGCAGGGAAGAAGCGAAAGUGACGGUACCUGCAGAAAAAGCACCGGCUAACUACGUGCCAGCAGCCGCGGUGAUACGUAGGGUGCAAGCGUUGUCCGGAAUUAUUGGGCGUAAAGAGCUCGUAGGCGGUUUGUCGCGUCUGCUGUGAAAACCCGAGGCUCAACCUCGGGCCUGCAGUGGGUACGGGCAAACUAGAGUGCGGUAGGGGAGAUUGGAAUUCCUGGUGUAGCGGUGGAAUGCGCAGAUAUCAGGAGGAACACCGAUGGCGAAGGCAGAUCUCUGGGCCGUAACUGACGCUGAGGAGCGAAAGCAUGGGGAGCGAACA
This 407-nucleotide ribosomal RNA is filed under the name uncultured bacterium. Its description in RNAcentral is "bacterial SSU rRNA". It matches the Rfam family "Bacterial small subunit ribosomal RNA", at positions 355 to 774 of the family's 1533-position model. The record is from RNAcentral.